This is a long non-coding RNA of Physcomitrium patens, 841 nucleotides long. RefSeq lists it as uncharacterized. NCBI's taxonomy places the organism in Eukaryota, Viridiplantae, Streptophyta, Bryopsida, Funariales, Funariaceae. The record is from RefSeq and is a predicted model, not a curated record.
AAUUUUGUGGGAUGAUGAACUCACCACGUGGCCGCUGUGUCGUUAAGCGGAAAAUUGAACGAAUUCCAUGAUGCCGAACUUCGGCGUGGUUCUUUCUCACAGCGCAAACCCAGCCUACCACUUUAGGAUGCAAGAACUCUCCGAUUCUGAGUCGGUGUGUGCCUGAGAGCUUCGAUCGAGGUGUUGUUUUGCGAUCUAACAGUCGUUGAAGAAUCGAUUGGAUAAGAAAUGUACUGCUGAAGUGGUUGGAAUAGCCCUCUGCUUCUGCUACGAGUUGGAUGCUGCUUGCGAGUUUUGCAAGUAGAAGCACAGCAUAGGAGCAAACAGAUGUCGAGGCUGGGUUUUAGAACCAAAAAGGACGAUACCAAGACAAACAAACAUGUUGCACAACCACCAGAUCCAGACCUGUUGAUGCGCCAAAUGGAUCGCUCCAUUGCCGCUGUGGAGUACCAGAGAGCCACUAGUCAGCUGUCCAAGCACCGACCCCCGCAGUCAUCCAAACCCUCUGACAAUGGCAAGGCAAUGAGGGUCAAAGACGAAAGUGUGGUGCUUGCGAAGGGCAGUUCAUAAGGCUUUGUAUCGUCCAGAAGGGACCCAGGAACAAAGCAUCACCUCCCAAACUAUGCGGUGCUCUGUAAAUCCUCAGCCUAGUAUCCCUUCCGCCAGCUACAUUUGGAGGAGGCAGAUUUUUCUCACUUAGUUCCACACAACAUAGCCAUAAGAGGCUUUGACUAAAAAGUAAAGCACACUUGGUUAGCAUCAAAGGAAGGUAGGCAUUAUAAGUCAUGUUUAUGCUAGGAAAUGGACCCAUGACCUCAAAUUACCUCAAGCGUUACUCGUC